This 198-nucleotide ribosomal RNA is filed under the name uncultured prokaryote. RNAcentral's name for it is "partial 16S ribosomal RNA". It matches the Rfam family "Bacterial small subunit ribosomal RNA", at positions 524 to 721 of the family's 1533-position model. The record is from RNAcentral.
UACAGAGGGUGCGAGCGUUAAUCGGAAUGACUGGGCGUAAAGGGUGCGUAGGUGGCGAGGUAAGUCGGAUGUGAAAGCUCGGAGCUCAACUCCGAAAUGGCAUUGGAAACUACCUUGCUCGAGGGUUGGAGGGGGGACUGGAAUACUUGGUGUAGCAGUGAAAUGCGUAGAUAUCAAGUGGAACACCAGUGGCGAAGG